UCCGUAGGUGAACCUGCGGAAGGAUCAUUACAGUAUUCUUUUUGCCAGCGCUUAAUUGCGCGGCGAAAAAACCUUACACACAGUGUUUUUUGUUAUUACAAGAACUUUUGCUUUGGUCUGGACUAGAAAUAGUUUGGGCCAGAGGUUUACUGAACUAAACUUCAAUAUUUAUAUUGAAUUGUUAUUUAUUUAAUUGUCAAUUUGUUGAUUAAAUUCAAAAAAUCUUCAAAACUUUCAACAACGGAUCUCUUGGUUCUCGCAUCGAUGAAGAACGCAGCGAAAUGCGAUAAGUAAUAUGAAUUGCAGAUUUUCGUGAAUCAUCGAAUCUUUGAACGCACAUUGCGCCCUCUGGUAUUCCAGAGGGCAUGCCUGUUUGAGCGUCAUUUCUCUCUCAAACCUUCGGGUUUGGUAUUGAGUGAUACUCUUAGUCGAACUAGGCGUUUGCUUGAAAUGUAUUGGCAUGAGUGGUACUGGAUAGUGCUAUAUGACUUUCAAUGUAUUAGGUUUAUCCAACUCGUUGAAUAGUUUAAUGGUAUAUUUCUCGGUAUUCUAGGCUCGGCCUUACAAUAUAACAAACAAGUUUGACCUCAAAUCAGGUAGGAUUACCCGCUGAACUUAAGCAUAUCAAUAAGCGGAGGAAAAGAAACCAACAGGGAUUGCCUUAGUAACGGCGAGUGAAGCGGCAAAAGCUCAAAUUUGAAAUCUGGCACCUUCGGUGUCCGAGUUGUAAUUUGAAGAAGGUAACUUUGGAGUUGGCUCUUGUCUAUGUUCCUUGGAACAGGACGUCACAGAGGGUGAGAAUCCCGUGCGAUGAGAUGCCCAAUUCUAUGUAAAGUGCUUUCGAAGAGUCGAGUUGUUUGGGAAUGCAGCUCUAAGUGGGUGGUAAAUUCCAUCUAAAGCUAAAUAUUGGCGAGAGACCGAUAGCGAACAAGUACAGUGAUGGAAAGAUGAAAAGAACUUUGAAAAGAGAGUGAAAAAGUACGUGAAAUUGUUGAAAGGGAAGGGCUUGAGAUCAGACUUGGUAUUUUGCGAUCCUUUCCUUCUUGGUUGGGUUCCUCGCAGCUUACUGGGCCAGCAUCGGUUUGGAUGGUAGGAUAAUGACUAAGGAAUGUGGCUCUACUUCGGUGGAGUGUUAUAGCCUUGGUUGAUACUGCCUGUCUAGACCGAGGACUGCGUCUUUGACUAGGAUGCUGGCAUAAUGAUCUUAAGCCAC
Molecule: small RNA, 1213 nt
Filed under: Debaryomyces hansenii
Lineage: Eukaryota; Fungi; Ascomycota; Pichiomycetes; Serinales; Debaryomycetaceae
Also listed under: 1 other name
Description: eukaryotic LSU rRNA
Rfam family: Eukaryotic large subunit ribosomal RNA (bases 583-1213)
Source: RNAcentral